UGUUAAAAUUUUAUCCAUUUUUAUUAUUAAAAAUUGAUGUACUUGACAGAAUAAUCAAACAGUUACACAUGAUGUGUCAUGUAUACUUCAUGUUGAUGUACAAGGACCAAUUUUUUAAUAGUAGAAAUAGAUAAUAGGAUCAAUU
Molecule: non-coding RNA, 145 nt
Organism: Gossypium arboreum
Lineage: Eukaryota; Viridiplantae; Streptophyta; Magnoliopsida; Malvales; Malvaceae
Source: Rfam